Molecule: long non-coding RNA, 371 nt
Organism: Helianthus annuus (common sunflower)
Lineage: Eukaryota; Viridiplantae; Streptophyta; Magnoliopsida; Asterales; Asteraceae
Exons: 2
Source: RefSeq, a predicted model, not a curated record
UCCAACUGCAGCUCAAGGAGUAUAUUGAUGACACUGAAGAUCUGAUCAACAUUAAACUUGGUAAUGUCCAGAAUAAGCUGAUUAAGUUCGAGCUGCUCUUGACGGCGGCUACUUUUUUUGGCAACCGUAUUCGCAGUAGUGACAGUUGUAUUCGGAAUGAACUUUGAAGAUGAAGUUUUCGAUGAACCGAACAGAUUCCAUUGGGUCGUUUCUACGAGUGCCGUGUUAUGUGGAGUUUUGUUUAUCUGUUUCUUGCUUUAUUUUAAACAUAAGAAAGUUUUUCCUCUCUAGAUUUCAUCAUAAAAAGUUGCAGCUGAUGUAUGUAUUUCUUUCUUAUUGCUUCUUCUAUACAGUUAAAUUAUCUUUUACUA